UACGGGGGGGGCAAGCGUUGUUCGGAAUUACUGGGCGUAAAGGACGCGUAGGCGGUUUGCUAAGUUGGAUGUGAAAACUCUGGGCUUAACCCAGAGCCUGCAUCCAAAACUGGCUGACUUGAGUACUGGAGGGGAAAGCGGAAUUCCUGGUGUAGCGGUGAAAUGCGUAGAUAUCAGGAGGAACACCGGUGGCGAAGGCGGCUUUAUGGACAGUAACUGACGCUGAGGCGCGAAAGCUAGGGGAGCAAACAGG
RNAcentral lists this ribosomal RNA (253 nucleotides) under uncultured bacterium. Its description in RNAcentral is "partial 16S ribosomal RNA". It matches the Rfam family "Bacterial small subunit ribosomal RNA", at positions 524 to 776 of the family's 1533-position model. The record is from RNAcentral.